AGCAGGGCCUGCUGACAUCCUGGGUCUCCUGCCAGCUGCACGCUCAGAGGUCCAGAGCCAGCAUCAUGAAGUGGUUGCAUCUCCAGCUGCUGCUGCUCCUCGGCGGGGUGGUCCUCCCAGUGUCGGGGAAAUUGAAAGACAGUUCAUUUUGAAAUUGAAUUUCUGGAUUACCGUAGGUAUUUUGGCUGGGUUUCAAAAUGAAGAGUGGAUGGAAAAUUAAAGGACUUUCCCCAGUCCGGUUGCAGAGAGGAGCCAGGGGUGACUAUAUAGAGAAACACGGGUUCUUUUUUUUAAGCCAGGAUACCCAAGGGAAAUAAAAUGAUCCAAUCUCAACCUUGAGGGUCUCCUGACACUACAAGUAAUUUGGUGUCUCUGUGUGUGUGUUGGGGGGGGGACUGUGGAGGCCACAUUGAGUUUUUGAGGAGGACACUUAUAAGAGGUCCAGAGGAUUCAGAGCUUGCAAGAGGGGGUACCAGGAGUGUAAGUCCCUGGUUGAGUGUUCCAAAGAUGAACACCAAAUUGGGAAAUGGCUACUUAUUAUUUCUUAACACAUGGCCCUUUUUUAAGGAAUUGAGUAUUUCAGAGCACCGAAAUACGAAGGAGAAAUAAAAUGCAUGCCUGACGGAAGCCCUGGGGUUAAAACAAAAUGAAAUGUGCAGAAUUUGGGGAGGGUGGGGGUAGAUACUGCAGCGUGGUGGGAGGAAGGAGUUCAGCUUAAAGGGCCCUUUCAGCGGCAGCGGAGGUGGAAGCCCCUUCCUCUACUGCUCUGGGACUCCACUUUUCCCACACCCCCACAGAAGGAGGAUGGGGGGACUAGUCGACCUCUCGGGGCUCUUUGGAGAAUUGGGCUUGGUUUCUGUGGGUUUAAAUUCCACGAGGUGACUUCAGAGUGGCUAGGGGAAUUGAGGAGAGUGUUGGGGAUUGGAUCUUUAUCCCAAGAAUCAAAAAGACCGCUUAUGUCCUUGGGUGGGAGAAGAGGGGGAGCCUACACAGGGGGUCCCUGAGCAUGAGAGGAGCUGAN
Molecule: long non-coding RNA, 1021 nt
Filed under: Marmota monax (woodchuck)
Lineage: Eukaryota; Metazoa; Chordata; Mammalia; Rodentia; Sciuridae
Source: RNAcentral